Molecule: ribosomal RNA, 253 nt
Filed under: uncultured bacterium
Lineage: Bacteria
Description: partial 16S ribosomal RNA
Rfam family: Bacterial small subunit ribosomal RNA
Source: RNAcentral
UACGUAGGGUGCAAGCGUUGUCCGGAAUUAUUGGGCGUAAAGAGCUCGUAGGCGGUCUGUCGCGUCUGCUGUGAAAACUCGGGGCUUAACCCCGGGCCUGCAGUGGGUACGGGCAGACUAGAGUGCGGUAGGGGAGACUGGAAUUCCUGGUGUAGCGGUGAAAUUCGUAGAUAUCGGGAGGAAUACCAGUGGCGAAGGCGGCGACCUGGGCCAAUACUGACGCUGAGGUGCGAAAGCAUGGGGAGCGAACAGG